AAAAAAAAAAAAAAAAAAAAAGGUUUUUGAAAGCAGCUAAGAGCUGCUUUCGUUUUUUUUUUUUUGCUUUGAAUGGUCGUGAUUUUGGAAAAAAAGAAAAAAAGAAAGCUAGGUUUGCUUGAGUUACCAAGCAUAAAUUGGAUGCAACGAUCACCAGAUUUUGGUGGGGCUAGGGGUGGGCACGGUGCGGUUCGGUACAGUUCCACCCCUAAACCGGAACCAGAACCUUAAAAUAGCAAUGAUUCGAUUCGGUGCAGUUUCACUUAAAUUUAUUACUAGAACCGUACGGUUCGGUCUAGACUGCUUCUUAUUCCGUUCUUGCCGGUUUAUGGUUCCGAAUACUAAAUUAUUUGAACACCAAAUCAUCAUACAUUCAAAUACAUCUUCUAAAACUGAUUCUAUAAAGUUGCAACAAAUCCAACACAAGCGACCACUUGCAAGUUCCAACAGAACAUACCCACGAGAAGUAAUCGUUGGAACUGAUAUUUACCCCCAAGACGAUAAAACCCAAAAGUGAAAAUGACAGCAUUUGCAUCUUCCACCAUCUGAUAUGUGCAACCUCUUUGACUUGUCAAUUGUUUCACGUUCACCCAGCCUUACCAAUUACCUCAUUGAACGAAAGUACUACCCAACCAAAGGGAAAUGCAAGACUUCAAAUCUAUGGCGUGUAAAUGACGACAAUAAUGGUAAACAUAAGCUAGGAGUCCCAAAGGAAGCGACUUAUUUUAUUUUAGGUCACAGUUACACACAAUUGACAAUAAUCCCAAAACAACACCACAUUGAUAAUGCUUUAAACCAACCCGCCAAUUGCAAUAAAAUUCUAAGUCAUUUCCAAUAUCAUCAAAUUACUGAUUUUUCUCUUAGCCGACAAUAGAAUAGUGAACUAUGUAUCUAUACCUGAUCAAUGUGACCAAGAACCUCUUCUUUCUUUGUAGCCUCAUCUUUGUUCUCAUAAAGCCCGGAAUCAAUCAAGAACUGCCAAAAUCAAUACAAAACAGUGAACUAUAUAUCUAGAGAAUUGGACACUAAAACAAUGAACUAUAUAUCUACCAAAAUUAUAAAGCCACGAAUCAAUCAAGAACUACCAAGAUCGAUCGAGUCUAGAAACUUAGCAUCAUCAAACUUUGUCACAAAAGAAUUGGACGUUAAUACACAAUAGAACUUCCCAAUUGAUUCAACCUCUGAUUCUGCUACAUCAUUACUUAACUAACAAAACAUAUGAAGCUCAAAACAAAACAACAGUCAGAAAACAACAAGUUGCAACCGAGCCAGUUCGCAAUCAAAAACAGGGAAAUUCACGUAAUCCAAGGAGGGAGGACGGAGGACGAAGAGUCGUGAGUUGUCAUGGAUGAGGGAUGUCGAGGCUCGUCGCAGAGAACAGAGGUUAUAAGCUACCUAAGAUAUCGCAGAAAUUCUGGAUGAGGGCCAUGAGUAGGUUGACCGGCUGAGCGACAUUGGGGGAAGGGGGGGGUCUGAUGUAAGGCAGUGAGACGUGAGUGAGGUGAGGGUGAGGUGGGUGAACCCUAAUUAGGAUGAGAUCCCCUGGUUUUCAAUUCGAUUUCGGCCAAUUCUUGUUCAUUUGAAACUGAAAUCGAUUUGAACGGUCCGUUUCGGUUUUUUUACUCAAAGUUGACUUUUUCAAUCAACACGGUUCCUUUCGGAUUUUUUUUUUUUUUUUUUUUUCAUACGGUUCGAGGGAUAUUGAUUUCCUUCAACACUUCAUCCUAGUGGAAGAGCACGAUGCGAUAUUGGAAUUGAACAUCAGGGACCUUGCGACAGAGGAUAGACUGGUGUGCCCUUAUGGAAAAAAAAAAAAAAACAGGCAUCUUCUCCGUGAAAUAUGAGUACCAUAGGGCCUACUCGGUGACUGCCCUAAGAGUAAGUCAUCGCUCUACUUCUUCCACAACAAUCCCGAAAUUGUUAUAGAAGGUUAUCUAGAAGUUGGAAACCCUUUUUAAGAUUAAAAGCUUUAUGUGGAAAGCACUUCAUAGGGCUUUGGAUACAAUGAAGGACUUGUUUAAGCAUAGAUCAUCCCCUUCCUCAAUCUGUCCAAUAUGCCAUAACCAUGAGGAAAGCAUUGAACACAUUUUCCUUCUCUGCCCAUAGGUAGAGACCAUUUGGUUUGGUGGGGUCCUAAACUACAAGAUUAAUUGGAAUGGUAUUACAACAUGGGCUAAUUGGCUCCUUGCUAUUAUCAAUUCCAUGACUAGCUCAUCGACGGACGUGGGGAGGAUGCUGUCAAUGGUUGCUUUCACAUACUGGUAGGUUUGGAAGGCCAGAUGCAACUUCGUCUUUAAUCAGCAACCAAUCGCUUCGAGGCCCUGCGUUCAUGAAGAUUAAUGUUGAUGCUAGUUAGACGACCUCUACUGUUUUGGGGUUUGCUGGUGCAAUAGUUCGGGACUCCGAUGGUAAGUUCGUGGCUGCUCGGAGGUUUAGCUUUCAUGCUCAAGUGUGAAAGUUGUUGAAGCAAUGGCCAUUCUUCGAGGUUAUCAGCUGGGCAACUCUUUGGGCUUCAAUUCGGUGAUCAUUGAGUCUGAUUCAUUGGAAUCUAUCUCUUGCCUGAGGAAUGUUCUAACAAAUGGUAGUUGUGAGGCCUUUCCUACUUUGAUCAAAAGCAAGAAAAUUGGAGAGUCCUUCCAAGAUUAUCGCUGGUCUUGGAUCUCAAACCAACCAACAUGGCGACAAAUCUUCUAGCGUCGCAAAGAAGUAGGGAGAUGUGCGAUUUCACUUAGGUCGAUCGAUCCCCAUCUUCCCUUAUUCAUGUACUAAACAAUGAUGGGCUUCCCUGUCUUCCUUAAAUUUCUGUUUUGUGGUAGUGCAAGGGGCAACGCAUUAGCAUAGGUUGCAGCGUCCCUUCAAAAUGUACCUCUUUGCACUGACCGGCUUUAUUUUCUUAGCUAGUAUUGGCUUGCCUCUUUGUAGUCUUUGGUUGUAAGUUCUUUGGCAUCUUUGCCCUGGUAAUGCGAUUUUUAGUUAACCAAAAA
This is a long non-coding RNA of Pyrus x bretschneideri (Chinese white pear), 2984 nucleotides long. RefSeq lists it as uncharacterized. The record is from RefSeq and is a predicted model, not a curated record. The transcript has 2 exons. Lineage: Eukaryota; Viridiplantae; Streptophyta; Magnoliopsida; Rosales; Rosaceae.